UACAGAGGGGGCAAGCGUUGUUCGGAAUUACUGGGCGUAAAGGGCGCGUAGGCGGCCUUCUAAGUCGAACGUGAAAUCCCUGGGCUCAACCCAGGAACUGCGUCCGAUACUGGAAGGCUUGAAUCCGGGAGAGGGAUGCGGAAUUCCAGGUGUAGCGGUGAAAUGCGUAGAUAUCGGGAGGAACACCGGUGGCGAAGGCGGCGACCUGGGACGAUACUGACGCUGAGGUGCGAAAGCGUGGGGAGCAAACAGG
RNAcentral lists this ribosomal RNA (253 nucleotides) under uncultured bacterium. Its description in RNAcentral is "partial 16S ribosomal RNA". It matches the Rfam family "Bacterial small subunit ribosomal RNA", at positions 524 to 776 of the family's 1533-position model. The record is from RNAcentral.